UACGGAGGGGGCUAGCGUUGUUCGGAAUUACUGGGCGUAAAGCGCACGUAGGCGGCUUUGUAAGUUAGAGGUGAAAGCCCGGGGCUCAACUCCGGAAUUGCCUUUAAGACUGCAUCGCUAGAAUUGUGGAGAGGUAAGUGGAAUUCCGAGUGUAGAGGUGAAAUCCGUAGAUAUUCGGAAGAACACCAGUGGCGAAGGCGGCUCUCUGGGACGGUACUGACGCUGAGACGCGAAAGCGUGGGGAGCGAACAGG
RNAcentral lists this ribosomal RNA (253 nucleotides) under uncultured bacterium. RNAcentral describes it as "partial 16S ribosomal RNA". It matches the Rfam family "Bacterial small subunit ribosomal RNA", at positions 524 to 776 of the family's 1533-position model. The record is from RNAcentral.